GAUGAACGCUAGCGGCAGGCUUAAUACAUGCAAGUCGAGGGGCAGCAUGGUGUAGCAAUACACUGAUGGCGACCGGCAAACGGGUGCGGAACACGUACAGAACCUUCCUUCGAGCGGGGAAUAGCCCAGAGAAAUUUGGAUUAAUACCCCAUAGUAUAUUGGAGUGGCAUCACUUUAGUAUUAAAGAUUUAUCACUUGAAGAUGGCUGUGCGGCUGAUUAGGUAGUUGGCGGGGUAACGGCCCACCAAGCCUGCGAUCAGUAACUGGUGUGAGAGCACGACCAGUCACACGGGCACUGAGACACGGGCCCGACUCCUACGGGAGGCAGCAGUAAGGAAUAUUGGUCAAUGGACGAAAGUCUGAACCAGCCAUGCCGCGUGGAGGAUGAAGGUCCUCUGGAUUGUAAACUCUUUUAUAUGGGACGAAAAAAGGGCUUUCUAGCUCGUCUGACGGUACCAUAUGAAUAAGCACCGGCUAACUCCGUGCCAGCAGCCGUACGG
RNAcentral lists this ribosomal RNA (500 nucleotides) under uncultured bacterium. RNAcentral's name for it is "bacterial SSU rRNA". It matches the Rfam family "Bacterial small subunit ribosomal RNA", at positions 28 to 528 of the family's 1533-position model. The record is from RNAcentral.